CUACGGGUUGCUCCAGUGAGGAAUAUUGGUCAAUGGUCGAGAGACUGAACCAGCCAUGCCGCGUGCAGGAUGAAUGUUCUAUGAAUUGUAAACUGCUUUUAUACAGGAAGAAACCUACUUACGUGUAAGUAGCUGCCGGUACUGUAUGAAUAAGCAUCGGCUAACUCCGUGCCAGCAGCCGCGGUAAUACGGAGGAUGCAAGCGUUAUCCGGAUUCAUUGGGUUUAAAGGGUGCGUAGGCGGAUUAUUAAGUCAGUGGUGAAAUCCUGCGGCUCAACCGUAGAACUGCCAUUGAUACUGGUAAUCUUGAAUGUAGUUGAGGUAGGCGGAAUGUGUAAUGUAGCGGUGAAAUGCUUAGAUAUUACACAGAACACCGAUUGCGAAGGCAGCUUGCUAAACUAUGAUUGGCGCUGAUGCACGAAAGCGUGGGGAGCGAACAGGAUUAGAUACCCUAGUAGUC
Molecule: ribosomal RNA, 459 nt
Filed under: uncultured bacterium
Lineage: Bacteria
Description: partial 16S ribosomal RNA
Rfam family: Bacterial small subunit ribosomal RNA
Source: RNAcentral